This 948-nucleotide ribosomal RNA is filed under the name uncultured bacterium. RNAcentral's name for it is "bacterial SSU rRNA". It matches the Rfam family "Bacterial small subunit ribosomal RNA", at positions 8 to 953 of the family's 1533-position model. The record is from RNAcentral.
AGAGUAUGAUCAUGGCUCAGAACGAACGCUGGCGGCGUGGAUAAGACAUGCAAGUCGAACGAGUUUAGUUUUGUAGCAAUACAAAGCUGAGCUAGUGGCGAACGGGUGCGUAACACGUGAGCAAUCUGCCUUAAAGUGGGGGAUAGCUCGCCGAAAGGCGAAUUAAUACCGCAUGUGGUUGCAAAACUAAAGCCGGGGCAACCUGGCGCUUUUAGAGGAGCUCGCGGCCUAUCAGCUUGUUGGUGAGGUAACGGCUCACCAAGGCUUCGACGGGUAGCUGGUCUGAGAGGACGACCAGCCACACUGGAACUGAGACACGGUCCAGACACCUACGGGUGGCAGCAGUCGAGAAUUUUUCUCAAUGGGGGAAACCCUGAAGGAGCGACGCCGCGUGGAGGAUGAAUGCUUUCGGGUUGUAAACUCCUGUCAUUUGGGAACAAAGCCUUACGUUAACUGCGUGGGGGUUUGAUAGUACCAGAAGAGGAAGAGACGGCUAACUCUGUGCCAGCAGCCGCGGUAAUACAGAGGUCUCAAGCGUUGUUCGGAUUCAUUGGGCGUAAAGGGCGCGUAGGCUGCGGGGUAAGUCGGGUGUGAAAUCUCAGAGCUCAACUCUGAAACUGCACUCGAUACUGCUCUGCUAGAGGACUGGAGAGGAGAUUGGAAUUCACGGUGUAGCAGUGAAAUGCGUAGAUAUCGUGAGGAAGACCAGUGGCGAAAGCGGAUCUCUGGACAGUUCCUGACGCUGAGGCGCGAAAGCCAGGGGAGCAAACGGGAUUAGAUACCCCGGUAGUCCUGGCAGUAAACGGUGCACGUUUGGUGUGCGCGGAUUCGACCCCGUGCGUGCCGGAGCUAACGCGUUAAACGUGCCGCCUGAGAGUACGUCGCAAGAUUAAAACUCAAAGAAUUGACGGGGCCCGCACAAGCGGUGGAGUAUGUUGGCUUAAUUCG